Molecule: ribosomal RNA, 253 nt
Filed under: uncultured bacterium
Lineage: Bacteria
Description: partial 16S ribosomal RNA
Rfam family: Bacterial small subunit ribosomal RNA
Source: RNAcentral
UACGUAGGGGGCUAGCGUUGUCCGGAAUCAUUGGGCGUAAAGAGCGUGUAGGCGGUCCGGUAAGUCCGUUGUGAAAGUCAGGGGCUCAACCCCUGAAUGCCGGCGGAUACUGUCGGGCUAGAGUCCGGAAGAGGCGAGUGGAAUUCCCGGUGUAGCGGUGAAAUGCGCAGAUAUCGGGAGGAACACCAAUGGCGAAGGCAGCUCGCUGGGACGUGACUGACGCUGAGACGCGAAAGCGUGGGGAGCAAACAGG